This 407-nucleotide ribosomal RNA is filed under the name uncultured bacterium. Its description in RNAcentral is "partial 16S ribosomal RNA". It matches the Rfam family "Bacterial small subunit ribosomal RNA", at positions 30 to 526 of the family's 1533-position model. The record is from RNAcentral.
AUUGAACGCUGGCGGCAGGCCUAACACAUGCAAGUCGAGCGGAGCGGCGGACGGGUGAGUAAUGCCUAGGAAUCUGCCUGGGCGUGGGGGAUAACGACCGGUAACGGGCGCUAAUACCGCAUACUUUCAGAUGUUCCUAUGUCGGAUUAGUUAGUUGGUGGGGUAAAGGCUUACCAAGGCGACGAUCCGCAACAGUUCUGCGAGGAUGAUCAGGCACACUGAAACUGAGACACGGUCCAUACUCCUACGGUAGUCAGCAGUGGGGAAUAUUGCACAAUGGGCGAAAGCCUUGUACAGCCGUGCCGCGUGUGUGAUGAAGGUCUUCGGAUUGUAAAGCACUUUAACUUGAGCGGCGUUACCAACAGAAUAAACACCGGCUAACUUCGUGCCAGCGACCGCGGUAAUUC